This 71-nucleotide transfer RNA is filed under the name Eviota prasina (green bubble goby). RNAcentral's name for it is "tRNA-Asp". It matches the Rfam family "tRNA". From Rfam's summary of the family: Transfer RNA (tRNA) molecules are approximately 80 nucleotides in length. The record is from RNAcentral. Lineage: Eukaryota; Metazoa; Chordata; Actinopteri; Gobiiformes; Gobiidae.
AAGGUGCUAGUAUAAAGCCAAUACACUGCCUUGUCAGGACAGAAUCGUGGGUUUAAAUCCCGCGCACCUUA